CGUGUAGGCGGGUUGUUAAGUCAUCUGUGAAAGCCCACGGCUCAACCGUGGAACGGCAGUUGAUACUGGCAGUCUUGAGUGCGAGAGGGGAGAGCGGAACUCCUGGUGGAGCGGUGGAAUGCGUAGAUAUCAGGGGGAACAGCGGAGGCGAAGGCGGCUCUCUAGUUCGCAACUGACGCUGAGGCGCGAAAGCCAGGGGAGCGAACAGGAUUAGAUACCCUGGUAGUCC
RNAcentral lists this ribosomal RNA (229 nucleotides) under uncultured bacterium. RNAcentral's name for it is "partial 16S ribosomal RNA". It matches the Rfam family "Bacterial small subunit ribosomal RNA", at positions 568 to 796 of the family's 1533-position model. The record is from RNAcentral.